GUCUACGGCCACACCACCCUGAACGCGCCCGAUCUCGUCUGAUCUCGGAAGCUAAGCAGGGUCGGGCCUGGUUAGCACUUGGAUGGGAGACCGUCUGGGAAUACUGGGUGCCGUAGGCU
RNAcentral lists this ribosomal RNA (119 nucleotides) under Microcebus murinus (gray mouse lemur). Lineage: Eukaryota; Metazoa; Chordata; Mammalia; Primates; Cheirogaleidae. The record is from RNAcentral.